RNAcentral lists this ribosomal RNA (661 nucleotides) under uncultured Phaeobacter sp. RNAcentral describes it as "bacterial SSU rRNA". It matches the Rfam family "Bacterial small subunit ribosomal RNA", at positions 97 to 793 of the family's 1533-position model. Lineage: Bacteria; Pseudomonadati; Pseudomonadota; Alphaproteobacteria; Rhodobacterales; Roseobacteraceae. The record is from RNAcentral.
GGCGGACGGGUGAGUAACACGUGGGAACGUGCCCUUCUCUAUGGAAUAGCCACUGGAAACGGUGAGUAAUACCAUAUACGCCCUUCGGGGGAAAGAUUUAUCGGAGAAGGAUCGGCCCGCGUUAGAUUAGGUAGUUGGUGGGGUAAUGGCCUACCAAGCCUACGAUCUAUAGCUGGUUUUAGAGGAUGAUCAGCCACACUGGGACUGAGACACGGCCCAGACUCCUACGGGAGGCAGCAGUGGGGAAUCUUAGACAAUGGGGGAAACCCUGAUCUAGCCAUGCCGCGUGAGUGACGAAGGCCUUAGGGUCGUAAAGCUCUUUCGCCAGAGAUGAUAAUGACAGUAUCUGGUAAAGAAACCCCGGCUAACUCCGUGCCAGCAGCCGCGGUAAUACGGAGGGGGUUAGCGUUGUUCGGAGUUACUGGGCGUAAAGCGCACGUAGGCGGAUUAGAAAGUUGGGGGUGAAAUCCCGGGGCUCAACCUCGGAACGGCCUCCAAAACUCCUAGUCUAGAGUUCGAGAGAGGUGAGUGGAAUUCCAAGUGUAGAGGUGAAAUUCGUAGAUAUUUGGAGGAACACCAGUGGCGAAGGCGGCUCACUGGCUCGAUACUGACGCUGAGGUGCGAAAGUGUGGGGAGCAAACAGGAUUAGAUACCCUGGUAG